RNAcentral lists this ribosomal RNA (512 nucleotides) under uncultured bacterium. Its description in RNAcentral is "bacterial SSU rRNA". It matches the Rfam family "Bacterial small subunit ribosomal RNA", at positions 774 to 1277 of the family's 1533-position model. The record is from RNAcentral.
AGCUAAUAGAUACCCCGGUAGUCCACGCCCUAAACGAUGUCUACUAGUUGUUGGUGGAGUAAAAUCCAUGAGUAAACGCAGCUAAACGCGUGAAGUAGACCGCCUGGGGAGUACGGUCGCAAGAUUAAAACUCAAAGGAAUUGACGGGGGCCCGCACAAGCGGUGGAUUAUGUGGAUUAAAUUCGAUGCAACGCGAAAAACCUUACCUGGCCUUGACAUGCCACUAACGAAGCAGAGAUGCAUUAGGUGCCCGUAAGGGAAAGUGGACACAGGUGCUGCAUGGCUGUCGUCAGCUCGUGUCGUGAGACGUUGGGUUAAGUCCCGCAACGAGCGCAACCCUUGCCAUUAAUUGCCAUCAUUUAGUUGGGCACUUUAAUGGGACUGCCGGUGACAAGCCGGAGGAAGGUGGGGAUGACGUCAAGUCCUCAUGGCCCUUAUGGCCAGGGGCUUCACACGUAAUACAAUGGUCGGUACAGAGAGUUGCCAACCCGCGAGGGGGUAGCUAAUCUCAG